AUACGGAGGAUGCGAGCGUUAUCCGGAUUUAUUGGGUUUAAAGGGUGCGCAGGCGGCCAUUUAAGUCAGCGGUUAAAUCGUGGGGCUCAACCCCAUUCUGCCGUUGAUACUGGGUGGCUUGAUUGCGGUCGAGGUUGGCGGAAUUCGUUGUGUAGCGGUGAAAUGCAUAGAUAUGACGAAGAACACCGAUUGCGUAGGCAGCUGACCAGACCGCAAAUGACGCUCAUGCACGAAAGUGCGGGGAUCGAACAGGAUUAGAUACCCUGGUAGUCCGCACAGUAAACGAUGAAUACUUGUUUUCGGCGAUAUAAUGUCGGAGGCAAAGCGAAAGCGAUAAGUAUUCCACCUGGGGAGUACGCCGGCAACGGUGAAACUCAAAGGAAUUGGCGGGG
Molecule: ribosomal RNA, 392 nt
Filed under: uncultured bacterium
Lineage: Bacteria
Description: partial 16S ribosomal RNA
Rfam family: Bacterial small subunit ribosomal RNA
Source: RNAcentral